RNAcentral lists this long non-coding RNA (2261 nucleotides) under Zonotrichia albicollis (white-throated sparrow). Its description in RNAcentral is "lncRNA (ENSZALG00000003256.1)". Lineage: Eukaryota; Metazoa; Chordata; Aves; Passeriformes; Passerellidae. The record is from RNAcentral.
GGAGGGGACAGGUGAGUUACCAACCAGGUGAAGGGGGCAGGGUCUCAAGGGAGGAUGACACUUAGACAGGCCAAUGACCCCCAGGCCUGAGGAGCAUCCUUUGAAAUCGACGAAUCACACGACGCCUUGCUGGUAUGUUAGCCUGAUUGACAGGGCACACUCGGCGAGGGGGCAGGGAGAGAGGCAUAGGCACACCUGGGAAGGGACUCGGAAGUUUAAAACAGGACAUUGCAACACACCACAACAGAGGUGGAGGCCGGGCAUGAAGCCCAGGUGAGGAGAGAGGCCAGGGUGGCUGCCAGUGAGGCAACAAGGGCCACCAUGGUGAGACAGCGGGUGGAGGUGGCCCUGGGUCUGCUGGAGCGCUUGGUGGCCGCAUGUGACAAAGCCACCGCGUUCCCCUGGGAGCUGCGGCGCCUGCUCAGGGACAUCGAGACCACCAUGAAGGGGACAAAUGAGGCAUUCCCCAAAGUCCCUGAGGACUUGGUGGCUAAGGUGGCCGUGGCUGAGCGGCUGUGGGAGGACAAGGCCCACCUGGUCAAGGAUCACCUGGUAGGGACAGUUCGAGACAUCAUCAAGUUGUAUAUCGAUAGUGGUCCUGCCCACCUCAGUGCCCACCCCAGCCAUGGGGUGGCUGAGCAGUGCCAAAGAGCCAUUGAGGACAUCCCAAGGCUCCUUCAAUCCCCAGAGUGUCCCCAAGGUGUCCCCAAUGUCUCCCCAGUGAGCAUGGAGCUCCAAGAGCUGCUGGAGGCUCUGGUGUCUGUGGUGGCCACCCUGGGCGAUGUGACGGCCACCGUGACCGGGCCACACCGGGGCGUGCGGCGCUGUGUGCCCCCAAAGUUGCUGCACGCAGCCCUGAGGAUCUUCACCUGGAGCCUCCGUAAGGCCCUGGAACACCCCGGUGUCCCCUCCCUGGGCCAGGCCACCCCGGGGGCCACCUGGGCCGAUGUGAGAGCUGCGGGCAGCGCCUGGCGGGAGCUGGUGUCUGCAUGUGAGGAGAGAUGGAAACAGCUGGUCGAGGAGAUCACCAAGCUCCGUGAUGCCUGCGAGGACACGACCCUCGCCUGGGCUAGAUACCAGCAGGACAAGGCCACCCGCAGGGGGACAGCUGGGGACAACCUGGCAGCCACAGCCCAGCAGCUCAUGAUGGCCCUGGACAGGGAUGAGGAGGCCUCGGUGGGGGCUGCGCAUGGUGCCCAGGUGGUGGCGGCCAAGAAGACCAUGGGAGAGGCUGUGGUGGCCACCAGGCGGGUGAGGGCGGCCAUCAGGAGGAGACAUUGGGCAGAGGUGGCCCUGGAGCCACUGCAGCGCUUGGUGGAUGCGUGUGACAGAGCCACUGAGUUUAUCAGUUACAUGGAGUGCCAGCUCAGGGACAUCGAGGCUGCCCUGGAGGGGACAAAUGACGCAUCCCCUGAUGUGCCUGAGGCCUUGGUGGCUGCGGUGGCCAAGUCUGAGCAGGUGUGGGAGGCCAGCACUCGCCUGUUCAAGCAUCACCUGCUGGGGACACUUGGGAACAUCCACAACCUCCUCUUGAGUCCCUGUGAUGGCCGUGGUGGCUCAGAUGGCCCCGGCAGCCGCGUGGUGGCUGAGCAGUGCCAAAAAGCCAUCGAGGACAUCCGGAGGCUGCUGCAGAGACGGUGAUGUCACCACUGUGAUGUCAUAGCAGCAGUGACAUCAUUGGGGACAUGGCUGCUGUCACCUGUGCCCUCCCUGUGCUGUAUUUGAGGUAAGUCUGGGGAAUUUUCUAGGCAUUUUCAGUGAUACUGUCCCAAAUCUUGAUGGGAAUUCCUGGGGUGACGUCUCUGGGGACACUCAGGGACACUCGGGGGACAGUGAGGGAAAGGGGACAGGAGUAAGUGAGUCCCCUCAAGAGCUUCCAGCUUUCCACUCUGCAGCAGAGCCAGGUCAUAAAUUGCAAAUUUAUUAUUGGCUUCUGCAUUUCUGCAUUGCCUUUUGCACUUUUGUAUUGCCUUUUGCACUUUUGUAUUGCCUUUUACACAUUAUUACUGAUCACCAUCUGUUUGAUGCGGUAUUUGAUACUGAUAUUGAUUAUCGAUGAUUCCUUGCAGCUGCAGGUUGAUUCAGUAUAAUCUAUCAGUUCAUGUGUGCACCGUACAGCCUAUUAAUUAAUUAAUUAAUUAAUUAAUAUUCUUUAUAUAAAGCAGACUGGUCUGUUCUGAACUUUGUGUCAGACACAUCACUUGACCCCAUUGAGAGACGAGUGGUCAAUAAAUCCAUCCCAACGUUCCUUGAGGGGAGCA